GGAUGUGAGUGCGAUCUGGCUGCGACAUCUGUCACAUCACUGAUAGCCACGAUUGAUUUGGUUCAUCUGGCUGGCGAGGCGGGCAUCCCCUUCCUCCCUCGUCUUCUUCCUCCCUCACCGCUCCAUGUGUAUCCCUCCCAAAGCUGCACACUCGGUCAAAGAGGAUGACCUUCCCCAAUAGAAGAGGACCGUUCUCUGGUGAAGAGUAUAUGAGUAGCUGCACUCCCCUGCUAGAACCUCCAAACAAGCUCUCAAGGUCCAGUUCAGGUGCAGAAAAGUCAGAUAGAUUGAAUAAUGUAUCUAAUAAAUACCAAAAGAAGGGCCUGCUACAGGAGAUU
Molecule: small nuclear RNA, 338 nt
Filed under: Prolemur simus (greater bamboo lemur)
Lineage: Eukaryota; Metazoa; Chordata; Mammalia; Primates; Lemuridae
Description: 7SK RNA (ENSPSMG00000002326.1)
Rfam family: 7SK RNA
About the family: 7SK was discovered as an abundant small nuclear RNA in the mid-70s but a possible function has only recently been suggested. Two independent studies have found that 7SK RNA binds the CDK9/cyclin T complex (known as elongation factor P-TEFb).
Source: RNAcentral